CAAAAACAAAGCUAGUUCAGAACUCCAACAAAACCCAAACUAUCAAACCGCAGCAGUCAAUAAGAUGUAAGCAUUACCAUGCAGCACUAACCAAACUAAAAAGUGACUACAAAACAGCCCUUAAAAUACCUGCAGCCACUAGUAGCUAGCUAAUAUUAGCUCAGAGAUGUCGGAAAGCGUCUGGACAGCAAAACGAGCAACUAAUACAUAAAUACAGAAUGUUACCAGACUGUUUAAAAAACGGCUCUACUUACCUUGGCGAGGUGAAGGUGACCUAAGGCCAUUCUAAUAGAUUGACACCGACAGCAGGCUGACAGUGUUUCUGCACGGAUCCUCCACUUGUAUGUUGGUGAGAAUUGACAUUUUGCUGCAACCGCUGACUCGCACAAUGUUUGACACAUCACUUUAUUAUUGCUGGAUCAAUAUUCUAUUAUUGUUCAAUUAUAUUUAAUAAACCAAACCCAGGCAAACAAACAAUCCAUCACGACGGCCAGUGCAAGAGGCAUCUUGUUACUGCCAACAAGGUUGAGGAGGUUUGGAAACAAACAAAGUCUUCUUGAUGUGUUGGCUUUUGCCAUUUCACUGGCAUAGCCAUAGGCUGAAUUGCUUCACUGUUUCCAUGAAGGUCUUGUGACAUUUGAUUAGAAAGCCUGUUGGGAGUUCUUACAUGCCUUUUUCCUGAGAUGUUUGAAGUGUUUGCAGUUCACUGGAACUGUAUAAACAGCAGCCGUAAAGCCUCAGAGGUCUUUUCUUAGAGAAUCCAGACUGCUGUGUGGUUCCGUCAUAAAUCUUUGACUAACUAAACCAUUGCCUCUCAUUUAAGAGUAAGAAACCAAAGAAACCCAAAUCGAUACACAUGUGAUUUUAAGUCAACUUUAAAAAAAUGGUCUCAUCAUCAAGUGUAUCACAGAUGUUAGACUUCAUCUAACAUCUGUGCUUUACACUUUGUAUCUGGAAAUGCUCCUUAAAACAUCAUAUCUGCAUAUAUGUUAUCAAGAAUGUUUAAAAAACUUUUUUUUUUUUGCAUUAUCUGUGAAAUCAACUAUUUCUUAGACUGAUUGGAGAAUGAUAAGGGAUUUUAAUUCUGUGAGUUUUCAGUGUUAUCUAUGUUGCAAUAAUUGAUAGUUUGCAAAUAUUUGUAAAACAAAGGCUCUUUUUUCUUGGCAGUAAUUAUAAAAUAUGCACAUGCUGUAUCCAAGUCAGUACAAACCAGUAUUCAUUGUAUGUUCUUGUGAGACUAUGAAAUCUGUGACUAAACAUUACUGAGACAGUACAGUAGAACAAACCUAGAUAAGUUGACAUCACCAACAUCAUUACGAUCAUGACUGUUGUUUUGUCUCACGUCUGUAAUUCCACACUCUGUGUGCCUUUCUAAAGGCUGCUCGCCUCUCUUUAUCUUAACAUGCAGCCGUUUGCUCGAGGGAAUAGUAUUUUUAG
RNAcentral lists this long non-coding RNA (1437 nucleotides) under Oreochromis niloticus (Nile tilapia). RNAcentral's name for it is "lncRNA (ENSONIG00000039147.1)". Lineage: Eukaryota; Metazoa; Chordata; Actinopteri; Cichliformes; Cichlidae. The record is from RNAcentral.